ACCAGUCCUCGUUAGGCGAGGCGUCUAUGUAAACAUAGGCCACUGCCCGGAAACGUCGAAAGACGCCAAUGGGUCACCAGGUAUUGCCGGAUUAAGGCUUUACCUAAUGUGGCUGAGUGCAAACUCUACGUUGCAUAGUGCUAAAGCUCAACCAGGGGGAUGUAC
Molecule: small RNA, 165 nt
Filed under: Paenalicyclobacillus ferrooxydans
Lineage: Bacteria; Bacillati; Bacillota; Bacilli; Caryophanales; Alicyclobacillaceae
Also listed under: 1 other name
Description: Alicyclobacillus ferrooxydans Magnesium sequence
Rfam family: M-box riboswitch aptamer (ykoK leader)
About the family: M-box riboswitch, also know as ykoK leader is described as a metaloregulatory RNA that sense divalent metals and function as a genetic control element of genes related to divalent metal transport in bacteria. It was first reported upstream of the B.subtilis ykoK gene and genes with related functions in other bacteria. Phylogenetic analysis of the distribution of M-box RNAs across bacterial genomes revealed that M-box riboswitches are most often employed for the regulation of Mg2+ transporter genes
Source: Rfam by way of RNAcentral